AUUUUUUUUUUAUCUGGAGUUUUUAGUGGUUGUUUAUACAAAGACUGGUUCUAAGCUGGUCAUGUGCUGGAGAUAGUUGCUAAGGACCAUUUUAGGACCAGCUUAAUCCAGCAGCCAUGCUUCAAAACAUACCUAACCAGCAUAUGCUGCUUUUUUCAACAGGGGAUGACUUGCACAAUGAACUGUAAUGCCUGAUGUUAGAGAUUUGAUCAAAUGACUUACACUCAGUAUUAAUAUAUUAACAGCUUUUAUUGACCAGCACUAAUUUUCAGGUGUCAGACUCGCUCACGCUUUCCUCUCUCAUUGCACUCAGGCCAGAGAUCAUGUUGCUGGCGGGAAGUGAGAGUCCUCCAGAGAAACCUGAGGUCAAUCUGACACGAGAUCAGCAGCAGAGCAAACGGAGAGCUCUGAUUCUGCAGCCAAACCCCGCUGAUACUGUCAGCGCAGCGACACGUUGAGUGGAAAUGACCGCGGCGACGCCCUCACGCUGGGAUUCUUCUCUUCCCCUGCCGCAACAAUUGAUGUGAAGAUGAGCUCUUCAGACUGAUGUCUGGACACAUUUAUAAGACUUGGAGUCAAUAAAAUAGUCAAUACCUGCAGUGACUCUCCAACAUCUCAACAUCUUCAGCUCGUGCGACAGAAGAACUGAUUCAACCAGAAUAAUCAGUGUUGGUUUGGACGUCUCUCUUAUCUCCGGUGCUCUUCCCCUGUGGUUCCUGUCAAAUUCUUCAGCUCCUGAGACAGGAGAUCUCACACUCUUCACACGCGGCCCAUCUGUCAGCCGCAGCUCCAUGAUGAGCUCUGUUUCUUCAGGGAGACGGGCUGCUAAAAGCUUUUCAACACCAACAUCUCACCCUGAUCCCACAGAAAUCAAAGAGAGCAAAUCUCUCCUGUCGAAACGCAGUGGAUGUGAAGGAAGGAAGAGUGAGACUGUAGCUGAUCAAAGCAGAGUUAAUCACGUCCGAUCACAACAUGAGCAUGUGUGUUCAUAACUGCUUAUGAUCAUAUGCAGAUAUUACUACAGCAAACAAAUCUGCCUUGACUGAACAAGAGUAAUGUCAGGUUUUCAUAUCUGUUGCAUUUCUGAGCUCAUGCAUAAUAAAUAAACACAAGAAACAGAUACA
This is a long non-coding RNA of Cyprinus carpio (common carp), 1124 nucleotides long. Lineage: Eukaryota; Metazoa; Chordata; Actinopteri; Cypriniformes; Cyprinidae. The record is from Ensembl.